GCUGGAAAACGCGGCGAAACAGUUUAUCAACUUAAUGGACUUAAGUACACCAGUGUAAAUACUGUAUAAAAGUAUAACAAUUCUUUAUCUUUAAAUCGCUGAAUGUCAUGGGUCGAUUUUCUUGUUUGCUAAAAGUUUGUCAGGAAACUGGACAUCGCCAAAUAUUCAAGCGUUUAGCCUCGGUAAAUUAGUGAGAUUUGUCUGGCAUCAACAAACCAGCUCUUUAAACUUGCUUUUUGAUUGUGGUAGGAUUAUGACAUGUUAAAUACCACCGCCAAACAAAAAACUUCAACUUUGAUUUGGAUGUCAAGUUUGCAGGUGUUACAACAAACCGUCUGUUUGUUACAAUUAACCCCACCUAUGGGGUAAGUUGUUACGUUUGCACUCCUGUCACUUUCAGUGUAAUUGUAUGAUAACGGCAGAAGCUACAACCAAACAAAGCCCACUCUACAAGCCAUAAAAUGCUGGUUGGCUGAAUCAGAUUCUAUAUUAAGUAACUGCAUUGCUACCUAUAAGAGGCUCUUGAUUUUCUGUGUAGCAGCUGGAAACAUCAUUAUGUAUGCAGAAUGUUACCAGCUACAGGAAUAAUUACAUUUAGGAUGAGGUUCUAGCUAAUCAGAAAUUAUACCAGUAUGGUAAAACAGAUCAGUCAGAGGAUGCUGUCUGGUCCUUCUCAGGUGAGGGGAAUGCUAAAAUGCACUUUUUAUUUACAACUCAGUAUUCAGUACUGCUUGACUUGCAUCUGAAGUCAGUCAGUAACUUUAUCCUGGACUGUCCUGACAGAAUGGUGAGAGUGGGGACCACCAACUUGUCAGUAUAUCCUCUGACAGCAUAUCCUCCAAUUCUGAAUACUAUUUACUACUCAGGGCUGCGUACCCUGCACCCUUUAAUACUCUAGGGGGCAGUUUUCCGGACAGAAAUUAGACUAGUCCUAAACUAAAAUAAAUGUAAGAGCUGUCCAAACUGAAAAUAUCUUGCACUGAGAUAUCUUAAAAUACAUUAGUGCCCUCUGUUUUGCCUCAAAAUGUAAUGUUUUUAGUUAUAUUUCCUAAUUAAACUACGGCCUAGUCCUGGCUUAAAAGGAUAGUUCACUCAAAAAUGAAAAUUCUGUCAUCAUUUACUCACUCUCGUGUUGUUACA
This is a long non-coding RNA of Misgurnus anguillicaudatus (oriental weatherfish), 1140 nucleotides long. RefSeq lists it as uncharacterized. Lineage: Eukaryota; Metazoa; Chordata; Actinopteri; Cypriniformes; Cobitidae. The record is from RefSeq and is a predicted model, not a curated record.